Small nuclear RNA from Fukomys damarensis (Damara mole-rat), 107 nucleotides. NCBI's taxonomy places the organism in Eukaryota, Metazoa, Chordata, Mammalia, Rodentia, Bathyergidae. The record is from Ensembl.
GUGCUUGCUUCGGCAGCACAUAAACUAAAAUUGGAACUAUACAGAGAAGAUUAGCAUGGCCCCUGUGCAAGGAUGACACGCAAAUGCAUGAAGCAUUCCAUAUUUUA